AUUUCCUACGGGGGGCAGCAGUAGGGAAUAUUGCUCAAGGGGGGAAACCCUGAAGCAGCAACGCCGCGUGGAGGAUGAAGGUUUUCGGAUUGUAAACUCCUUUUGUUAGAGAAGAUAAUGACGGUAUCUAACGAAUAAGCACCGGCUAACUCCGUGUCAGCAGCCGUGGUAAUACGGAGGGUGCAAGCGUUACUCGGAAUCACUGGGCGUAAAGAGCGCGUAGGCGGGAUAGCAAGUCAAAUGUGAAAUCCUAUGGCUUAACCAUAGAACUGCAUUUGAAAAUGUUA
Molecule: ribosomal RNA, 287 nt
Filed under: uncultured bacterium
Lineage: Bacteria
Description: partial 16S ribosomal RNA
Rfam family: Bacterial small subunit ribosomal RNA
Source: RNAcentral